GUAUUGGUAGUUCAGUGGUAGAAUGCUCACCUUCCAUGAGGGAGACCUGGGUUCAUUUCCCAGCAAAGACA
This 71-nucleotide transfer RNA is filed under the name Loxodonta africana (African savanna elephant). It matches the Rfam family "tRNA". From Rfam's summary of the family: Transfer RNA (tRNA) molecules are approximately 80 nucleotides in length. Their secondary structure includes four short double-helical elements and three loops (D, anti-codon, and T loops). Lineage: Eukaryota; Metazoa; Chordata; Mammalia; Proboscidea; Elephantidae. The record is from Rfam by way of RNAcentral.